GACGAACGCUGGCGGCGUGCUUAACACAUGCAAGUCGAACGGAAAGGCCCUGCUUUUGUGGGGUGCUCGAGUGGCGAACGGGUGAGUAACACGUGAGUAACCUGCCCUUGACUUUGGGAUAACUUCAGGAAACUGGGGCUAAUACCGGAUAUGAGCUCCUGCUGCAUGGGGGGGGUUGGAAAGUUUCGGCGGUUGGGGAUGGACUCGCGGCUUAUCAGCUUGUUGGUGGGGUAGUGGCUUACCAAGGCUUUGACGGGUAGCCGGCCUGAGAGGGUGACCGGCCACAUUGGGACUGAGAUACGGCCCAGACUCCUACGGGAGGCAGCAGUGGGGAAUAUUGCACAAUGGGCGGAAGCCUGAUGCAGCAACGCCGCGUGCGGGAUGACGGCCUUCGGGUUGUAAACCGCUUUCGCCUGUGACGAAGCGUGAGUGACGGUAACGGGUAAAGAAGCACCGGCUAACUACGUG
RNAcentral lists this ribosomal RNA (468 nucleotides) under uncultured bacterium. RNAcentral's name for it is "partial 16S ribosomal RNA". It matches the Rfam family "Bacterial small subunit ribosomal RNA", at positions 28 to 507 of the family's 1533-position model. The record is from RNAcentral.